Molecule: ribosomal RNA, 542 nt
Filed under: Papiliotrema laurentii
Lineage: Eukaryota; Fungi; Basidiomycota; Tremellomycetes; Tremellales; Rhynchogastremaceae
Description: eukaryotic LSU rRNA
Rfam family: 5.8S ribosomal RNA (bases 146-299)
Source: RNAcentral
UUCCGUAGGGUGAACCUGCGGAAGGAUCAUUAAAGAUUGACCGAAAGGUCUUAUCUCUAUAUCCCUCACCUCUGUGAACUGUGGACCUCCGGGUCUAUUUAACAAACAUCAGUGUAAUGAACGUAUAUAUCAUUAAACAAAACAAAACUUUCAACAACGGAUCUCUUGGCUCUCGCAUCGAUGAAGAACGCAGCGAAAUGCGAUAAGUAAUGUGAAUUGCAGAAUUCAGUGAAUCAUCGAAUCUUUGAACGCACCUUGCGCCUUUUGGUAUUCCGAAAGGCAUGCCUGUUUGAGUGUCAUGAAAUCUCAAUCCCCCUGGGUUUAUGAUCUGGGUCGGACUUGGAUAUGGGCGUCUGCCGGUCACACGGCUCGCCUCAAAUGACUUAGUGGAUCUCUCUGCAUCCGUGACAGACGUAAUAAGUUUCGUCUUGUCCCUUGCUUAUGAGUCUGCUCAUAACCUGCCAUCGCGCACUUUAGACUCUGACCUCAAAUCAGGUAGGACUACCCGCUGAACUUAAGCAUAUCAAUAAGCGGAGGAACAG